Molecule: long non-coding RNA, 3604 nt
Filed under: Nicotiana tabacum (common tobacco)
Lineage: Eukaryota; Viridiplantae; Streptophyta; Magnoliopsida; Solanales; Solanaceae
Description: long non-coding RNA (NTAB_LNC005066)
Source: RNAcentral
UCAAACUUCGGUAAGUAGAUCCACACCUGUAUGAAAAAACCGAAACCGACACUAUGUGAGACAAUAACACUCCCUACUGAACACAUGCAAGACAUGAUUGUGACUAUUUUUCUAAAAUUAACCUAUGUGGCUAAAGUGACUAAAACUGCAAGAUUUGGCUAAGACCCCGCAAAGCCAAGAACCUAAGAUUUACUAAGAAGACCUUUACCCUAUGUGGGUUGCCUACGUAUACCGCCCCGAGAGACGAGAAUCAGGUUUGCGUAGUUCGGGCAGAUUGGAUACGUGCGAGAGUUAAAAAAUAAUUGAUUUGGAGAAAAUAUAUUUUUGUGUUUUGUUUUGAAAAAUGAUGAAACAUGUAAAAUCUCCCAUGUCUCAUUCUUCUCAAGUGCACUCAUCUCCUCCAUCAUCGCCCUCUUCCAGUGAGGGUACUCCUUUUGGAUUUUCUUUUUCCUCUUUUUCUGAUUUUUUUUUGAAAACAUAAAUAAUGGGAAAGUGCAAAAUUUUUUUGGAUUUAUCCUCAAACCUCAUUGGUCCGUCAAAUGACCCUUUUACCCUUGAAAAUUACAAAAUGUAGCACAUAGGAUGCAUCAGGAUGGUCUUUUAUUUUUGGAGUACACCUGUCCUAAACGGACCCAACCCCUGUAUUGAAUUCCCAAAGUCAAAUGCACAUGAUGCAAACAAGAGUUCCUACAAGGGAUCCAGCAUGAGGCUGAGUUAUUCUAGGUUUAAAAACCUGGGUAUGCUGUUCUAGACUUGUGUACCCGAGCGGACAAUUCGAGCCGGGGAGGCUAUGUAUCGGGAACCAAAAGGCCAUCCGGCUUUGUAACUUGUUCGCACCUCUUCCUAAUUUAAGGUAUGACACUAAUAAAAGAGGAGUCACGCCAGGGUGCACAUCCCCGAAGAUGAGAAGAGAAGGGUUUCGUAGCAGUUUAUAUACAGUUCAAAUAGUAUCAAAGCGGUAAAAAACAACAUUUAGCACAUUAGACCCAAACAUGUAAUAAAAUCAGAUAAUAAAUAAAAACCAAAUAUAACAAUUACUCUAGCUCGAAUUCUUGAACCCUGAACCAGAGAUUUUGGGUUCUCUUUCCCAACAGAGUUGCCAGAGCUGUCACACCUCAUUUUUCUAACCCCGGAAGGUUAUAAGGGAGUUUUUUUUCCAAUUUAAAUGACAAUCGAAACGAGAUUAUUUAUUAAAAAUCAGAGUCGCCACUUGGGAUAAUUUAUGGUGUCCCAAGUCACCGGUUCAAAUCCCGAAUCGAGGAAAGAUUGACUCUGUUUUACAGUCCGCGAACACAGAAAUCCAGGUAAGGAAUUCUGUUAACCCGAGAGGUGUUAGGCAUUCUCAGGUUCCGUGGUUUUAGCACGGUCACUCAACUGUUAUUAUUGGCCUAUUUAUUUGAUUUUAAAGCAUCUUUGAAACCUAUGUGCAUUUUUAUUUCUUUUAAACCGCUUCUAAUAAUCCAAGUAUUAUACAACUAUUAUCGAUUACACAUUGCGAAUUAUAUCAUGGGAACCGUACCCACGAUCCACAACAUGUUUGUUUUAACUAAUAAUAUUAAAUUGUGGUCGGGUCACAUAAAUGUACCCCCGGCCUUUUUUAGAAAUAAGCGUCACAACUACAUCACGGGAACCAUACCCGUAGCUAUGACAAUUUAUUUAAUUAAUGCGCCUAGAGCAAACUACAAUAUUUAAGGCAUUUUUUAUGCUAGCUAAGGUAAUUAAUAUGAGGGCCAUAGAUUAUGGAUUUGUUUGCAUAUGGCGCACCUCAAUUUUAUUAAAGGAAAAUCGUUCAACUAAGUGAACUAUGGAUAUUCAUGUUUAAAACUAAUUUGAAAUUAAAUAUCACGACAACGCCACGGGAACCGUACCCGUAGUUGUGAUGAUUUUAUUACGUGCCUAAAGCAAACUACGAACGUUCAUUAUUUUCCUAAGACUAAUUUGAGACUAUCGCGAGGCCAUGAAUUAUGGAGCACUUUUGCUAAAAGAGAUUUCAUUCUCAUAUCCUUUUAACUCCUUAUUUCAUGCACUUGACCAAACCCAAUUCUUAAGGCAUAUAAACAAAUUAAUUAUCUAAUGGACUGGUCGUACCCCAAUCCCACACCUUGAUCCAUUGACAAGUAAGUCAAGCCAGAUGCCAAAGAUGUGGCAUUCAGGAAAGCAUAGAAGAUUACUAUCUAACAAACAAAAUCAGAAAUGAUAAUAAUAGGGUAAAAUAGAAUGGUGUAGAUUUUCAAUAUAAUUAAAUCCUGCUUUUCCCAAAAUCCCUUUCCGAAGUGACCUCUCAGUACUAAAACAAGACAAAUUUAGUAAGACCAAAUCCACCGAGCAUCAAAGAUGCAAUGGCCAAACAUCAGAUCAACGAGUCCAAUAAUUGAUAGGCAACAAUGACAUAAAUGUCAUCAAAUAUUCCAUCCACAUAAACUGGAUGCCUAAACUACCAUACUUGGAUUACAAACAAUAAAAUUAUCUUGGAAAUCUAUAUUAAGCCUAAAUCUCAGCUUUUCUACAUGUGACUCCCAAUGAAACAGCAAGAGUGCUCAAUGCAAAAAUUAGUUAAAGCUUCAAUCACGUAGCCCCAAAUUCAAACAGAUCCAAACAGUAUCUGCUUCAUUGUUUACUAUCGCUCUUUGUGAUUAUCUAUUUUUGUAUAAAUAAAAUAAAACAAUCCUAAUCCCUUUGAACCAAGCUCAUAUCAUACUAAAAAUUUGCAGCAAAAUAAAAUAAAAAAAGGAUAGAGCUAGACCUAAAAUUGCUUUCCUUGAAUAUCAAAUACGCCGAGCAAAAGAAGUGAAAGCAAAAACCCGAACGUGAAUCCUCGCACAAACGAAUCAGGAACGACGAAACUUCGACGACAACUAAGCGAUAUUUCUUUAAUCAGUUUGAUUUGCAAAGCAAUUACAAGUCGAAUUCGAACUGUAACAGCAACAGGGAACUCCACCGUGAACCUCGAACGGCGACGAACUCUGAACGACAAACGAUGACCUAAAAUCUUGUUCUGUUUCUCUGAUUUUAUCAAUGGACUGACCACCUCAAUUCCGAAAAGCAUAGAGAAAAUGAAGGCAUUUUGUAAAUCCUAGAACUUCCUUCCCUUUAUAUGUGUGUACGACUGAAAAAUGGUAAGAAGAGGAAGGUCCAGCGGUGUGUUUGCUGUCGAUUUCGCUGCCUGGGUCUAAGGUCUUAAGAUUUGUUUUCGUUGGAGAGGAAGGUUCCAAACGGCUGAAGCUUUUCUCUCAGGUUGUGGAGGAGAUGAGAUCUUUUGGUGAAGGGGUAUUUUUCUGGUCGAUGAUUGAAGGCUGGGGUCAAUCUUUUGCGUCGAAAAUGGAGAUGAAGAAGAGGAAAAAUCACUGGUGUGUUCCCUCUAUCGAAGAAGACGAUCACAAGGGGGCGUCAUCUCUUUUGUGUAUUGCGGCUGUCUUCAGCCUUAGGUCCUAGGGUCUAUUUUUGUACUCUUUUUUGCUGAUUGUAGAGUGUAGGGAUAUAGGUUUUUAUAGGGUUUUUAAGUUAAAGGGUAUGAGCCUAGGAAUUAUGGGCUUGGGAAUUAUGGGCUAGAUCCGAAAAUUAGGCCUAAAAAUGGGUCGUUUGAGACCAAAUUUUUUUCUUCCCC